This 800-nucleotide ribosomal RNA is filed under the name uncultured bacterium. RNAcentral's name for it is "bacterial SSU rRNA". It matches the Rfam family "Bacterial small subunit ribosomal RNA", at positions 8 to 769 of the family's 1533-position model. The record is from RNAcentral.
AGAGUUUUAUCCUGGGCUCAGGACGAACCGCUGGCGGCGUGGCUUAACACAUGCAAAUGGAACGAAAAGACGAAAAGAGCUUGUUCUUUUCAGAAAUUGAGUGACAAACGGGUGGAGUAACACGUUAACAACCUGCUUCAAGGAUGGGGGACAACAGACGGAAACGACUGCUAAUACCGAAUAAGUUCCAAGAGCCGCAUGGCCCAUGGAAGAAAAGGUGGCCUCUACCUGUAAGCUAUCGCCUGAAGAGGGGUUUGCGUCUGAUUAGCUGGUUGGAGGGGUAACGGCCCACCAAGGCGACGAUCAGUAGCCGGUCUGAGAGGAUGAACGGCCACACUGGAACUGAGACACGGUCCAGACUCCUACGGGAGGCAGCAGUGGGGAAUCUUCCGCAAUGGGCGAAAGCCUGACGGAGCAACGCCGCGUGAGUGAUGACGGCCUUCGGGUAGUAAAACUCUGUGAUCCGGGACGAAAAGGCAGAGUGCGAAGAACAAACUGCAUUGACGGUACCGGAAAAGCAAGCCACGGCUAACUACGUGCCAGCAGCCGCGGUAAUACGUAGGUGGCAAGCGUUGUCCGGAAUUAUUGGGCGUAAAGCGCGCGCAGGCGGCUUCCCAAGUCCCUCUUAAAAGUGCGGGGCUUAACCCCGUGAUGGGAAGGAAACUGGGAAGCUAGAGUAUCGGAGAGGAAAGUGGAAUUCCUAGUGUAGCGGUGAAAUGCGUAGAGAUUAGGAAGAACACCGGUGGCGAAGGCGACUUUCUGGACGAAAACUGACGCUGAGGCGCGAAAGCGUGGGGAGC